Molecule: long non-coding RNA, 237 nt
Organism: Oryzias melastigma (Indian medaka)
Lineage: Eukaryota; Metazoa; Chordata; Actinopteri; Beloniformes; Adrianichthyidae
Exons: 2
Source: RefSeq, a predicted model, not a curated record
GAGCUGCUGAGUGGGUACGGCCCACCAGACGCAUUAUCAUCAGUGGCGGUGAUGUUGAGGACGUACUGCGGCCCCCUCAACCUCGGAGGCGGACUUCGGCGCAGCUUAAUGAUGCCUGUACACAAAAAAGCAGAGCUGGAGAAGGCCUGAGAAAGCCUCCGCAAGACAAAACAAUCCAAACAAACAAAUAUCUGCUAAUUAGGGAAGCAAUUUUCAAGUAAAUUGUUGUGGCCUUUA